Long non-coding RNA from Vidua chalybeata, 234 nucleotides. RefSeq lists it as uncharacterized. Lineage: Eukaryota; Metazoa; Chordata; Aves; Passeriformes; Viduidae. The record is from RefSeq and is a predicted model, not a curated record. The transcript is spliced from 3 exons.
CCGCUCUCCAAUGUGACUAGAUUUCGGAUAAAUUCACCCGUUUUCAAGUCCCAAAGUUUUACAGUCCCAUCAUCUGAGCUGUGAUCUCGUUGUGUUGUACACUGGCAGUUGGGCAAACCGAACAUCCACGAAAAUGAGCUUAACCAUCCUCAAGAGAUUUUGACUGUAGAAUCAGCAUUCCCAGACACAAGUAUAUUGUCCUUGAGUUCCAUUCCACUUGUGAGUGACUGGUGG